CAUGAUCAACAAGGACAACAUUAGGUAAGGACCCCAAAUGUACAGUGGGCACUGAUCCAGAUGUUAGAGUGCAGCCCAUAUUUUGCUACAAAUUCACUUCUCUGGUCUGGGAUCUGAUAAGAUUGAGGCUCUGUCGUUUCAUUGGUUGAAAUGGGGCUACGAUUGAAUUAAAUCCCUAAAUAAAUCAUAUUUAACCUUUUAUUACAUAAGGUUUGGGAAAUUAACAUUAUUGUUCAAUGUAAAAAAAAUAAUUUAAUACAAUGUCCUUGGUUUUAAACCUCACGUGUUGAAACAAAAGGUCAAAACAAUACAAAAAAUAUAAACACCACGGUACAAAUACUACAGGUAGAGGAACUCCGCCCGGCUGCACCGUUGUAGGUAAACAGAGCGAACGCUUCCGCUAACGUCAUUCAUCAAGCGACAUUUGGUAAAAGAAAAAUAGGCUCUCAGCAGACAUAAUAAAAGUGACAGAGUGAUGCAGUAAAGCAAAACUUUGGCUGAGUUUAAUGUAAAAUAACAACAACUGUACACAUACGGCUUGGGGUCUGCGACGUUCAGCCUGAACCUGCAUAAUCAGCCGGUGGUGGAACACAAGGUGGCGCUCUCAGACGAGCCGUGAUUGGCGGGAUCGCCCAUGGCGAAGACGCGAGCGGUGAAGAUGGAGAAGGAGUAGAGUCUCUGCAUGGUGUAGUGGCACAGCAACUCCGCCUCCCAGGCUUUGGUGGUUCUGGCCCUGUUGAUGCUGGAGUCCUGUUGGAAAUAAAAUGAAGAUUUCUUCAUGGCCGGCGUCAGUUUGGUGCUGAACUCUGAACAGCUCUUGAAUUCAGCCAGCCACGCCACCUCGGCCCUGUAGCUGCCCAGGACGCGCAGCAUCUUCUCAAUGCAAGGCUGAAGAUGGAGGGAGAGAGGAGAGAGGAGGGUCAACAAAUCACAGAAAGUUUUUGUCGUGCUGUUGACGUCGUGAGCCGUAGUUUUACGUGCAGUCAAAGUGAAACUGCAGCAGAUUUAAUCUAACGCUGCUGGUUUUACGCCCGUCAGCUGUGACCUCACCACAGACGUCGUUUUGAGUGAAGUGGGAUCACACAUGUCCUUGGCCUCCAUCCAGUCGAUCGGGUGCACGGGGUUGACUUUGAGCUUGGAUCCAGUUUGAGUCUGCAUGUCGUUCAAGUAAAAACAACAGAAAUGUCAGAGUUUAUAAAACACAUCCUGCCCAACGGUGGUCGACCAGGAGCGACCCAUUAACCUGACGUCUAUUUUUGCAGGUUUUUUCUGACUGUGGGAAGAAGCUGCAGUAUCUGGAGUCACCACCAGGGCUUCACAUCAAAAUCUUCUUGCUGUGAGGCAAAAAAACGCUAACCACUCUUCCACCGUGUGGCCCCUCAUCCCAAAAGGUAAUCCCAGAAUAUAAAUUUGAUCAUCAGGGGGCGCUACCUUUAAUGUUCAGUGUGUUCUCCAGAACUGUUGUCAAAAAGUUCCUGUGUCUCUGAGUACCAGUCAUUCAAACACAGUUACAGGUUUAGAACUUUUUACUGUACCAUAAAGAGUACUGAACCUGAACAUGUUGGACUGUGCCAGAAAAGACCAAUCAGAAAACUUUCAAAGAACUGCAGUAAUACUACAGUACAAAAAAAAGUAUCUGGUACUGAUGCUGUAACGUUUGAUCCUACUCGACACCCCCUGUAGUUCUAACUCUGGGUCAAGACAGAGACAGACAGAGACGGACUUACUGUGAUGGUCCUGGCGAUGCUGAGGAGCUGCGUGGAGCUGCUCUGUGCGUCCGCGCAUUCUUUCUGCGAAGGAAAGCAGGACGUGGAGACGAAACACAGGAGAAGAAGAGCGGCGCUGGUGAAGGAAACAGACAUGAUGGCUGAGAGUCGGACGGUCUGAAGGCCAGGUAGGACAGACAGGAGCUGCUGGGUCAGUGUCUGUGUCAGUGUCAGUGUCAGUGUCAGUGAGUGAUGAGAGACUCCAGCUCCUGUCUGCUGUGACUGAUGCUGGCUGCAGGGAACACGGCUGCUUAUAAAGGAGCUGUGGUCAGCGCGGGAGCAGGACUGUGAGUCAGUGCAGGGAUUUCCUAGGCAUCCCUCAGGUGAGCAUCGACGUGUACGUAACGCACAGGAAGGAAGAGACGGAACUGGUGAUCUUACUAAUAAAUAAACAUAUUGUGUUUCAUGACGUGGUUCUAGCACAAUUAAUGAUUCAAGUCGUUGGGUGUCGUAAUGCGCGGGAGUUGGUGUG
Cynoglossus semilaevis (tongue sole) is the source of this 2238-nucleotide long non-coding RNA. RefSeq lists it as uncharacterized. NCBI's taxonomy places the organism in Eukaryota, Metazoa, Chordata, Actinopteri, Pleuronectiformes, Cynoglossidae. The transcript has 4 exons. The record is from RefSeq and is a predicted model, not a curated record.